GGUGAGAUGGCUGAGCAGUCUAAGGCACCAGACUAAGGACCAAUGUGUUUGAUGCGUACCUUCAAUCUGGUCAUUUGUGGCAUGGGUUUGAAUCCCACUCUCAUCA
Asterophora parasitica is the source of this 106-nucleotide non-coding RNA. NCBI's taxonomy places the organism in Eukaryota, Fungi, Basidiomycota, Agaricomycetes, Agaricales, Lyophyllaceae. The record is from the annotation of a GenBank genome assembly.